GGCACCAGGAGCUAUGCCCCCGGGCGAUGGCUCUGUUCCUCCAGGAAAAUCAAUGACAAUUGGGCAGCAUGUUAUAGACAAAGGCGCUCAAUUGAUGCAGUCUUUGAAACCCAUCAAGCAGAUGAGCCAACAUGUUUGCACUUUCGCUAUGUACAGCCACGAUAUCACUCGACAGAUCGAGACGCAUCACUAUGUGAGUCGAGUCAAUCAGGAUUUCCUCCAGUGUGCUGUUUACGAUUCUGAUGAUUCUAAAGGACGUCUUAUUGGAAUAGAAUAUAUAAUAUCAGAUCGAAUCUUUGAAACUCUUCCAGCAGAAGAACAGAAGCUAUGGCACAGUCAUGAGUACGAGAUUAUAGCAGGACUUUGGGUGAACCCAAAAGUUCCAGAGAUGGUCCAAAAGCAAGAACUUAAGAAUCUUGCUCCAACUUAUGGCAAGUUUUGGUGCACCUGGCAACUUGAUCGAGGUGAUAGGCUUCCACUUGGAGCACCUGCAUUGAUGAUGUCUCCACAAGGUGUAAAUUUGGGCAUGGUGGCACCGGAGCUCGUGAAGAAGAGGGAUGAAAAAUAUGGCAUUUCUUCAAAGGAUUUGGAAAAGACGAGGGCGGAUAUUGCAGGGCCAAAGACGACUAUGAAUCCUUAUGCAAACUACUGGAUGCAAACUGGCAAAGGCUUUGCCAUUGAUGUGGAACUCACCGAUAUGAAAAAGACUGCACCUUUUCCAUGAGAAAUAUGAUCAAUCAAUUAGUAUAAUGAUC
This 755-nucleotide unclassified non-coding RNA is filed under the name Hevea brasiliensis (rubber tree). Lineage: Eukaryota; Viridiplantae; Streptophyta; Magnoliopsida; Malpighiales; Euphorbiaceae. The record is from RNAcentral.